This 205-nucleotide unclassified non-coding RNA is filed under the name Ascomycota sp. Its description in RNAcentral is "partial contains small subunit ribosomal RNA, internal transcribed spacer 1, and 5.8S ribosomal RNA". The stretch from base 1 to 47 matches the Rfam family "Eukaryotic small subunit ribosomal RNA", at positions 1785 to 1831 of the family's 1831-position model. The record is from RNAcentral. Lineage: Eukaryota; Fungi; Ascomycota.
AAAGUCGUAACAAGGUCUCCGUAGGUGAACCUGCGGAGGGAUCAUUAACGAAUGGCCCUCGUGGCCUUAGUCCCUCAAACCCGUGGAAGAGAGACGUGCUUCGACGCCCCCGCUUCGGGGACGUCGCAUUUAUGCCGUACGUGUCGUUUGUGUCUGAUUUUACAAUUGAGAUUUAAAACUUUCAACAAAGGAUCUCUUGGCUCUC